This 393-nucleotide ribosomal RNA is filed under the name uncultured bacterium. RNAcentral describes it as "bacterial SSU rRNA". It matches the Rfam family "Bacterial small subunit ribosomal RNA", at positions 975 to 1368 of the family's 1533-position model. The record is from RNAcentral.
CUGGGCUUGAACUGCAGUGGACCGGUGCAGAGAUGUGCCUUUUCGCAAGAACUGCUGCAGAGGUGCUGCAUGGCUGUCGUCAGCUCGUGUCGUGAGAUGUUGGGUUAAGUCCCGCAACGAGCGCAACCCUUACCCGUAGUUGCCAGCGCGUCAUGGCGGGAACUCUACGGGGACUGCCCGGGUUAACCGGGAGGAAGGUGGGGAUGAUGUCAUGUCCUCAUGGCCCUUAUGUCCAGGGCUACACACGUGCUACAAUGGGCGAUACAAACCGUUGCAAAGUCGCGAGAUGGAGCUAAUCGGAGAAAGUCGUCCUCAGUUCGGAUUGUAGUCUGCAACUCGACUACAUGAAGGUGGAAUCGCUAGUAAUCGUGUAUCAGAAUGAUACGGUGAAUA